This 262-nucleotide ribosomal RNA is filed under the name uncultured archaeon. RNAcentral describes it as "partial 16S ribosomal RNA". It matches the Rfam family "Archaeal small subunit ribosomal RNA", at positions 748 to 1009 of the family's 1478-position model. The record is from RNAcentral.
UAGGCGUAAAUGAUGCGAGUUAAGUGUGGGGGCAUCUACGAGAUGGCCCUGUGCUGUAGGGUAGCCGUUAAACUCGCUGCCUGGGGAGUACGGUCGCAAGGCUGAAACUUAAAGGAAUUGGCGGGGGGAGCACCACAAGAGGUGGAGCUUGCGGUUUAAUUGGAUUCAACGCCGGAAAUCUUACCGGGACCGACAGCAACAUGAAGGCCAGGCUGAAGACUUUGCCGGAUUAGCUGAGAGGAGGUGCAUGGCGUAGUCGUGU